UGAGUGGUGUACUGAUGUGGUGACUUCUCCU
RNAcentral lists this non-coding RNA (31 nucleotides) under Rattus norvegicus (Norway rat). The record is from RNAcentral. Lineage: Eukaryota; Metazoa; Chordata; Mammalia; Rodentia; Muridae.